GUGGGCCUUGUAUCUAGAGAAACAUCAAGUACUUUGAUAGGAGGAAUAUUAGAUCCACGACAUGCCAAAGCUCCAUUAACCAAAGAUGGGCCUUCUGCCUUCUGAAUGAUUGAUGUACUUUUAUUUUUCUUCUUAUAGAUAUCUUUUUGCAGCUUCUAUAAUCAAGUUUAUUAAUAAAAUGAAUUUAGAUCAAAGUUUUUCAUUUCACCUACACUUUUUUACUUUGGUGACUUUGUGUUCGUAUAGUAUUCAU
This 253-nucleotide long non-coding RNA is filed under the name Elaeis guineensis (African oil palm). RNAcentral describes it as "long non-coding RNA (EGUI_LNC051257)". Lineage: Eukaryota; Viridiplantae; Streptophyta; Magnoliopsida; Arecales; Arecaceae. The record is from RNAcentral.